RNAcentral lists this non-coding RNA (313 nucleotides) under Candidatus Magasanikbacteria bacterium GW2011_GWC2_37_14. Lineage: Bacteria; Candidatus Magasanikiibacteriota. The record is from RNAcentral.
UUUCGUUAAUAAUUUAAUUAUAGAUAGAGACAAAAUAAAAUCGGCUUAUAACGGAGAACCCGUCACCACGAAAAUGGACAUUGUCACAUCGUGGCCGGCAACCCCGUGGGAAGUCUGCGCUUAAUCGGCGCAUGACCCUGUAACGACUGACCCGAAAGGGAAGAUCCUGAGCGAAUCUUGAGCGUAAGCGAAAGAGGAGUCGAAGGAUAACACGCCGACUCUUGCUAAGUCAAACUGAGAUCAUGUCCGCCAGUGGGCGGACUAAAAUCCAGAGCAAGAUGAAGAUAUAGUCUGCGCCAUAUGAAAGUAUGGA